AACGAACGCUGGCGGCAGGCCUAACACAUGCAAGUCGAGCGCGCCCUUCGGGGUGAGCGGCGGACGGGUGAGUAACGCGUGGGAACGUGCCCUUUUCUACGGAAUAGCCUCGGGAAACUGAGAGUAAUACCGUAUACGCCCUUUGGGGGAAAGAUUUAUCGGAAAAGGAUCGGCCCGCGUUGGAUUAGGUAGUUGGUGGGGUGAUGGCCUACCAAGCCGACGAUCCAUAGCUGGGUUGAGAGGAUGAUCAGCCACACUGGGACUGAGACACGGCCCAGACUCCUACGGGAGGCAGCAGUGGGGAAUCUUAGACAAUGGGGGCAACCCUGAUCUAGCCAUGCCGCGUGAGUGAUGAAGGCCUUAGGGUUGUAAAGCUCUUUCAGCUGGGAAGAUAAUGACGGUACCAGCAGAAGAAGCCCCGGCUAACUCCGUG
This 433-nucleotide ribosomal RNA is filed under the name uncultured bacterium. RNAcentral's name for it is "partial 16S ribosomal RNA". It matches the Rfam family "Bacterial small subunit ribosomal RNA", at positions 29 to 507 of the family's 1533-position model. The record is from RNAcentral.